GUGCUCACUUGGGCAGCACAUAUGAUAGAAUUGGAACAAUGCAGAGAAGAUUAGCAUGGCCCCUGUGCAAGGAUGACACACAGAUUCGUGAAGCUCCCACAUUUUUG
Molecule: small nuclear RNA, 107 nt
Organism: Lynx canadensis (Canada lynx)
Lineage: Eukaryota; Metazoa; Chordata; Mammalia; Carnivora; Felidae
Source: Ensembl